Molecule: ribosomal RNA, 497 nt
Filed under: uncultured bacterium
Lineage: Bacteria
Description: partial 16S ribosomal RNA
Rfam family: Bacterial small subunit ribosomal RNA
Source: RNAcentral
GAUGAACGCUGGCGGCGUGCCUAAUACAUGCAAGUCGAGCGAACAGACGAGGAGCUUGCUCCUCUGACGUUAGCGGCGGACGGGUGAGUAACACGUGGAUAACCUACCUAUAAGACUGGGAUAACUUCGGGAAACCGGAGCUAAUACCGGAUAAUAUAUUGAACCGCAUGGUUCAAUAGUGAAAGACGGUUUUGCUGUCACUUAUAGAUGGAUCCGCGCCGCAUUAGCUAGUUGGUAAGGUAACGGCUUACCAAGGCAACGAUGCGUAGCCGACCUGAGAGGGGGAUCGGCCACACUGGAACUGAGACACGGUCCAGACUCCUACGGGAGGCAGCAGUAGGGAAUCUUCCGCAAUGGGCGAAAGCCUGACGGAGCAACGCCGCGUGAGUGAUGAAGUUCUUCGGAUCGUAAAACUCUGUUAUUAGGGAAGAACAAAUGUGUAAGUAACUAUGCACGUCUUGACGGUACCUAAUCAGAAAGCCACGGCUAACUACGUG